UACCUCCCAGGAUCGCAUCUGGAGAGUGGCUAAUAUUCUGCCAGCUUCGGAGUCGGGAGGGAAAACAAGCCUGGCAGAGGUACCCAUUCCAUUCCCUGCUUGCUCAGUAGCUGGUGAUUGGAAGACACUCUGCAACAAAG
Molecule: small nucleolar RNA, 140 nt
Organism: Rhinolophus ferrumequinum (greater horseshoe bat)
Lineage: Eukaryota; Metazoa; Chordata; Mammalia; Chiroptera; Rhinolophidae
Source: Ensembl